AAAACACUAGUUGAGUAAGCAAAUGACUAAAGGCCUAUAAGGCACAGCCUAAAGUCAGCAAAGAGGUGGGCAAACCCUGGGUGAGUGGAACACAGUGAAUAUGAUAGAGAUAUCAGCUGAAGACCACUGACCCAGGGGCGUCAAUGUCAGUUCGCAUAUAAUGAGAUGGGAUGUCUUCUUAUCCAUUCACCAGGGUAAAACCUGGAAGAUGGGGCGGGUGCAACGUGAGAGGUUUGCACAUUGUGCGGACGUUGCUGCGAAACUGAAGUGACGCGUAUGAAUGGAUUAACGAGAUUCCCACUGUCCCUAACUACUAUCUAGCGAAACCACAGCCAAGGGAACGGGCUUGGCAAAGACAGCGGGGAAAGAAGACCCUGUUGAGCUUGACUCUAGUCUGACUUUGUGAAGAAUCAUGCAUGGUGUAGUAUAAGUGGGAGUGUUUCGGCACGUCAGUGAAAUACCACUACUUUCAUCGUUUCCUUACUUAUUCGGUAAUACGGGGAACGUUUUCUCUGAAAACUUGUGAUUGAUUUUAAGCCGGCGUACUUGGUGCGCCGGCGACCCGCGCCGAUGACAUUGUCAGGCGGGGAGUUUGACUGGGGCGGUACAUCUAUCAAACAGUAACGUAGGUGUCCUAAGGUAAGCUCAGUAAGGACGGAAACCUUACGUAGAGUAAAAGGACAAAAGCUUACUUGAUCUUGAUUUUCAGUACGAAUACAGACCGCGAAAGCGUGGCCUAUCGAUCCUUUCGAUUUGUAAAGUUUACAGCAAGAGGUGUCAGAAAAGUUACCACAGGGAUAACUGGCUUGUGGCAGCCAAGCGUCCAUAGCGACGUUGCUUUUUGAUCCUUCGAUGUCGGCU
This is a non-coding RNA of Bursaphelenchus xylophilus (pine wood nematode), 861 nucleotides long. The record is from Rfam. NCBI's taxonomy places the organism in Eukaryota, Metazoa, Nematoda, Chromadorea, Rhabditida, Aphelenchoididae.